UAUAAAGACCAAGUAGGAUGAAACUGCGGACGGCUCAUUAUAACAGUAAUAGUUUCUUUGGUUAGUAAAGUACAAGGAUAGCUUUGUGAAUGAUAAAGAUAAUACUUGAGACGAUCCAAUUUGUAUUAGUACAAAGUGGCCAAUUUAUGUAAGUAAAUUGAGAAAUGACAUUCUAAGUGAGUUAGGAUGCCACGACAAUUGUAGAACACACAGUGUUUAACAAGUAACCAAUGAGAAUUUCUGAUCUAUCAAUCAGUUGGUAGUAUCGAGGACUACCAAGAUUAUAACGGAUAACGAGGAAUUGGGGUUCGACAUCGGAGAGGGAGCUUUACAGAUGGCUACCACUUCUAAGGAAGGCAGCAGGCGCGUAAAUUACCCACUUUCGAAUUGAAGAGGUAGUGACGACACAUAACUCUAGAGUUGAGUAAAAUCAAUUCUUGAAGGAAUGAGUAGGAGGUAAAUUCUCCUACGAAAUCAAUUGGAGGGCAAGUCUGGUGCCAGCAGCCGCGGUAAUU
This 515-nucleotide ribosomal RNA is filed under the name Entamoeba histolytica. Its description in RNAcentral is "SSU rRNA". It matches the Rfam family "Eukaryotic small subunit ribosomal RNA", at positions 64 to 584 of the family's 1831-position model. Lineage: Eukaryota; Evosea; Mastigamoebida; Endamoebidae. The record is from RNAcentral. RNAcentral also lists the same sequence under 1 other name.